RNAcentral lists this unclassified non-coding RNA (262 nucleotides) under Hevea brasiliensis (rubber tree). Lineage: Eukaryota; Viridiplantae; Streptophyta; Magnoliopsida; Malpighiales; Euphorbiaceae. The record is from RNAcentral.
UAUGCUUCGAAACAGAAUGUUGGCGGAUCCAUCUUUCUUGUUCAAAAUCGGAACAGAGAUAAUUAUUGAUUCUUGUUGUGCUACAUUUGCGGAAAUUCAAAAGAGGGGUAAUGACUUCUGGGCAGAGUUUGAACUGUUUGUUGCUGACCUUUUGGUUGGUGUCGUGGUAAACGUUGCUUUGGUUGGCAUGCUGGCACCCUAUGUACGUAUUGGGCAACCAUCUGUAUCUAAAGGGUUAUUUGGACGGCUAUUACAUGCUUAU